CAAGUCAGCGGUAAAAUGAGAGGGCUCAACCUCUUCCCCGCCGUUGAAACUGCGUUUCUUGAGUGGGCGAGAAGUACGCGGAAUGCGUGGUGUAGCGGUGAAAUGCAUAGAUAUCACGCAGAACUCCGAUUGCGAAGGCAGCGUACCGGCGCCCAACUGACGCUCAUGCACGAAAGCGUGGGUAUCGAACAGGAUUAGAUACCCUGGUAGUCCACGCAGUAAACGAUGAAUACUCGCUGUCCGGGGAGAUUGGUCUCUGGGCGGCCAAGCGAAAGCGUUAAGUAUUCCACCUGGGGAGUACGCCGGCAACGGUGAAACUCAAAGGAAUUGACGGGGGCCCGCACAAGCGGAGGAACAUGUGGUUUAAUUCGAUGAUACGCGAGGAACCUUACCCGGGCUCAAACGACGGAUGAAUACUUUUGAAAGGAGGUAGUCCUUCGGGACAUCCGUCGAGGUGCUGCAUGGUUGUCGUCAGCUCGUGCCGUGAGGUGUCGGCUUAAGUGCCAUAACGAGCGCAACCCCCAUCGCCAGUUGCCAACAGGUAAAGCUGGGAACUCUGGCGAGACUGCCGGCGCAAGCUGUGAGGAAGGCGGGGAUGACGUCAAAUCAGCACGGCCCUUACGUCCGGGGCGACACACGUGUUACAAUGGCAGGUACAGAGAGAUGCGACACGGCGACGUGGAGCGGAACUGUCAAAACCUGUCUCAGUUCGGAUCGGAGUCUGCAACCCGACUCCGUGAAGCUGGAUUCGCUAGUAAUCGCGCAUCAGCCAUGGCGCGGUGAAUACGUUCCCGGGCCUUGCACACACCGCCCGUCAAG
This 819-nucleotide ribosomal RNA is filed under the name uncultured bacterium. RNAcentral's name for it is "bacterial SSU rRNA". It matches the Rfam family "Bacterial small subunit ribosomal RNA", at positions 584 to 1401 of the family's 1533-position model. The record is from RNAcentral.